Setaria italica (foxtail millet) is the source of this 6869-nucleotide RNA transcript. RefSeq lists it as uncharacterized. The record is from RefSeq and is a predicted model, not a curated record. The transcript has 18 exons. NCBI's taxonomy places the organism in Eukaryota, Viridiplantae, Streptophyta, Magnoliopsida, Poales, Poaceae.
GUGUAAAAGUUUCUGAUGCCCGAGGCCCCUAAGCAGACUUCCCCCGUUCACAUCCACUGCCGUUUACCUCUUCCCCUCUCUCGUGUCCUUUCCUGGCGACGACGACUGCGCGAGCGGCGCCACUCUUCACCAGGUGCCCUUUCCCGGCGACGAGCAGCCACCAGGUGGAGACUGCAAGGACCAAGUGAGAGUGUUUGCUUUAUCCAUUAUUGCUGCUCCUUAGAAGAAAACCGCACUAUUGUUUGUCGCCUGCCAGCUAUUGCCAUCAGCUUGGGAGAUGGAGUAGGCAAAGGGAAUAUGCAUAUGCAGGAUUUUGGACAAUGGCCACCCCAAGCACAGAACACUGCCAGUCUAUGUUUUGCAAAUGUUGUAGUGCCAUCUCAGAUCAAUACUUCUAUAGAGGUGCAUAGUAGAACUUCUACAUUCUUGUCAUCUGAGAAAGAAUAUGCACCGUUUGGCAAUACAAAUGGUGCUUUGCCAAUCGAAAGCAUUAGAAAUGAUGGGUCAAUUAUAGGCACUUGGGAUGGUGCUGGGCCAGUUGAAGGCAUUAGGUAUGAUGCUGGGUCAACUGUAGGCACCAGAAAUGGUGCUGGGCCAAUUGAAGGCAUUAGGUGUGAUGCUAGGUCAAUUGUUGGCACCAGGAAUGAUUCUGGGCCAAUUGAAGCUAUUAGGCAUGAUGCUGGGUUGAUCAUAGGCACUGGAGAUGGUGCUGGACCAGUUGAAGGUAUUGACUUGAACAAGACACCAGCACAAAAGUCUAAGAGGAAAAAGCACAGGCCAAAGGUCUUGAAAGAAGAAAAACCAUCCAAGACAGCAAAGUCCACAACUCCAAAGCCUUCCAAGGACGAAAAACCAUCUGGCAAGAGAAAGUAUGUCCGUAAAAAUACACCAGCAGGUCAACCUCCUCCAGAACAGGCUGCUGAUUCAAAUUGCAGAGCUGAGCUGAAAUCAGCUAGGCGAUGUUUGAACUAUGAUGGGAAAAAUGAUCAGGAGGAUGCUCAUCCUGGAACUCCAACUCAGGUGACAGAAUUAUCAACUGACCCUAAGGAUUAUCAACCAUCUAUAUCCUCCAUCAAUCAAAGAAAUGUUCAAAGCCAGUCAGCAUGCCAUGCUGGUUGGACCACCAGCUCUGUUUACACCCAUGCAAAUCAGAUGGCUAAUGCACAGUUAUUACCUGCACAUAACAUGCAGAAAGGAGUAUUGAUAGACCUCAACAAUUCUUCUUUGAAUCAGAUACCAAAUGAGCACACUAACUUUGCAGACAGCCCUGCGCAAUUUUUUCAGUACAGAGUAAGAGAAAUGGUAGAACCAAAUCCUUUGUUAGAGCUCCAUGAUGGCAUACCACAUAAAAAUGUACCUGACAUCAACAGUUCGAUCAUUCUAUUGCAGAGCAUCCCUACCGAUUUCACUGAAAACUUGCUUUCGUCUCCUCCAGCUUCUUUAAGACAAAAGCAAAUGGCCAACCAGCUGCUUACUGGUUAUGAAAGGCCAGAAUAUCCAAUGACACAAACUCAAGGUUUUGAAAGAUUAUAUACAAGGAACGGAGUGACGGCAGACCAAAUGCCUGGUAGUUAUAUAUUGGCAAGCAACCGCAGCCCACCUGCCAAUACCGAACAGAAUUCAGUGAUGGAAAAUUUGAAUCAACUUGUUACAACUGAUGACCACUUAAGGAUUACUGGUCCAUACAGGUAUACUGGAGCAGCCCCCAGGUCUCAUGCUUCUCAGGACUCCUCACAUAUCCAUGCUAUGGAUAGCAGACGAGAAAAAACUGCUUCAAAUGAUGCUCAGACUAUGUUAGGUACGAACUUCAGUCACCAAAAUAAUGGGUUGGCAUCUGUAAAUGCUUGGCAUUCCACCAUCCCUGAGGCAUCAUAUUUUCCAGAAAUCUAUAAAAGAAUGAGGUUAAAUAAUCACGAUUACCGUCUGAAUGGAGCUGUUGACAAUUGUUCUUCCUCAUCUCCAUAUUUGUGUAACAGUGAGAAUGCAAAUCUGGUUCCAGCAGUAAACUCUAAUGUUUGUACAUUAGCUGAUGCACAAAGAUUGAUAGCCCAUGAGAAAUCCCGAGCUUCCCAGAGAAUGAUCAGUGUAGGAUCAGCACAAAACAGUAUGGCUAAAAGCAUGGAAAUGGUCCAACAGCAAUCUCUUCUACAUGGCACUGCAUUCAGGGGUUCCAUUGAAGUACCUGAGAAACAGUUCAGUUUGGUAACAGAAGAAUGCACACAGUUGCCAGUGCAGCGACAUAAUGUUACUGCAAGACUUGGAAGUCAUCAACUCCAGUCUUUGGGAGGUAACAUGGUUUCAGGUUCAGACUUACCAGCUAAACUGCACGAGCAUUGCAUUUCUCCGCAAGAUGAAACUCAGAACAGUGUCUGCAUUGCUCCUCCUGAUGAGCUUGGCCGAAGCAUCAAUGUGGAGCAUUUUAGGUCUCCUGGCACUCAAAUUAACUCAUCAACAGGUAAAAGCACUCCGAGAACAGAGAUUCAUCAUCCGGAGAUUUCUGCGGAAAUUAUUAGGACCCCUACCAAUCCAACAAAUCCAAUAACAAGUAAUGAUGUUCUGAGGACUGAGAAUAAUCAAGAAACCUUUGCAGCUAAACCCAGUCAGAAGAGAAAAGUAGGACGUCCCAGGAAGGAGUUAAAACCUGGGGAGAAGCCAAAACCUAGGGGCCGCCCAAGGAAAGACAAGGUUGUUCAUGAUGUAGUUAUCUCAAAAGGGAGCCACACUGACCCAUUACAGAAUGAGGGAAUUUCUUCUGUCUUGGCACCUCAUGCAGAAGGUGCCUCUUGUGCAAGAACAGUUACUUUGGAAAGAGUUAUAGAAAGUGUUUCUGAAGCUCCAGAACCAUCGAUAGACUCUUUAGAUCUCAUAAUUCAGAAAAUAAUGCUGUUAGACAUUAACAAAUUGGAUACGACUCGAGUAGCUGAACCACAUGGUGCUCUUGUCCCUUAUAAAAGAGAAAUUUGUGCAAUUAUUCCGUUUGAGGGAAAUGUGAAAAGAAAACGUUCUCGGGCCAAGGUGGACCUUGAUCCAGUAACCACUUUGAUGUGGAAGUUACUAAUGGGACCAGAUAUGAGUGAUGGUGCAGAAGCGAUGGACAAGGAUAAAGAGAAGUGGCUGGAUGAAGAAAGGAAAAUAUUCCGAGGACGUGUUGAUUCAUUUAUUGCCCGCAUGCAUCUUGUUCAAGGAGAUAGGCGUUUCUCUCCUUGGAAAGGAUCAGUUGUGGAUUCAGUAGUGGGGGUUUUCCUUACUCAGAAUGUUUCGGAUCAUCUUUCCAGCUCUGCCUUUAUGGCUCUUUCUGCAAAAUUUCCUGCAAAGCCAGAAGUCUCUGAAAAACCUACAAUUUCAGAAGAUAAUGGUUGCUGCUCGAGUUUUUUUGGUGAUGCUACCAAAUUGCAAGGCGAAGUCCUUGUUGAAGAGGCAAGCACCACAGCAGGCUCCUUAAUCACAGCAGAAGAAAAGGUUGGAAGCAAUAGUACUGAAUUGUUUGGAAGUUCUUCUGGAGAUGGAUUGGACGGUGUAGGAAUUCAUUCCGAUUCUUAUUGGAAGCUGCCAGCUAGACUCCAUGAGAGUAGGCCUGUAGCUGCUGGGGCUGAGAGUUUUGUUGAAGCUGAAAAUGGGUCGCUGGAAGAUGUUGUUUCAUCACAAAACUCUGCCAUUUCAUCUCAAAACUCCCCAGAUUACCUGUUUCACAGAAACGAGCAUAUGUUUUCUAGCACGCCACUAAAGUUCACAGCAGAGGCCUUUGUCCACAGAAAUAAGCCUAUUGGUACCAGCAGUUCAAUGACAUAUACAGAACUUUUACGGAUGCAAGAGAUAAAGAGCAAGUAUAGUGAAAACAUUGCAUCAUGGGAGUAUUGUGAAGUUCCAGACUUAUUUACAAAGAAGGGGCCACCCCUCAACGAGUUACAAGACCUCAGAAAAAAACAUCAUCAUCUUUACACUUCUGAUACUUAUCAACAGAAUGGCCAAGUUCAUUUUGGUGGUAUAGCCUCUGGCAGCGAUUUGGGAAGAUCCUCAUCAUACACUGCCCUUAACACUGUGGACUAUUCUAAUGGCACACAAGCUGAAACUACUUUCCAGUAUCCUUCAUCUGAUCAUGGUUUUCCCAGUACAAUCAAACCCACAACGGUUGACUCUUUGGGUGCCCUGUUAUAUGGUAAGAAUGGUUCAUUAAGUCAGGAUAAGAGUCCUUUACCUUCUAAGCCUACAGAAGGAGCUGACCUGUCACCAUUAGUUGAUAUAUAUUUUCAUCCAUCAAGUUCGGAACACAGGAAUCCAAAUCUGCAAGAUGAAAUUACUAUCGGCACAAAGCCAAUUGGACAUCAAAAUUUUCAAUCAGAAUUCAAAGAACCGACUGAUAAGGUUGAAAUUCAGACAGUGAAGGUUCGAGAUGGAUAUUCUUCAAACUUAUGUCAAAACAAGAAGGCAAAUUUCGAAAUCUCAGAGGGAGUUGCUUCAUACAUGGCAGAUAAUUCCAGAGAUGCUAAAAAAGUUUCCUCUGAAGUUCCUAUUGAUGGAUCAAAAGCAAAGAAGUCAAAAGUCGGGACUGGUAAGAAAAGAACUUAUGAUUGGGAUAUUUUAAGAAAAGAAGUGCUUUGCAAUAUUGGAAAAAAAGAAAGAGGCCACAAUGCGAAGGACUCAAUUGAUUGGGAAACAAUAAGGCAAGCAGAUGUCAAGGAAAUAUCUGAAACAAUUAGAGAGCGGGGAAUGAAUAACAUGUUGGCAGAACGAAUAAAAGAAUUUCUAAAUCGAUUGGUGAGAGACCAUGGGAGCAUUGAUCUUGAAUGGUUGCACUAUGUUGAUCCAGACAAAGCAAAGGACUACCUCUUAAGCAUUAGAGGUCUUGGACUCAAAAGUGUAGAGUGUGUGCGUCUUUUGACGCUCCAUCACAUGGCUUUCCCUGUGGACACCAAUGUUGGUAGGAUAUGUGUGAGGCUUGGAUGGGUGCCCCUUCAACCUCUACCUGAGUCUCUUCAGUUGCAUCUAUUGGAGCUGUAUCCAAUGCUGGAGAACAUACAGAAGUACCUAUGGCCUCGACUAUGCAAGCUUGAUCAACGGACACUGUAUGAGCUUCACUACCAAAUGAUUACAUUUGGAAAGGUGUUCUGUACAAAAAGUAAGCCAAAUUGCAAUGCAUGCCCAAUGCGAGCUGAGUGCAAACACUUUGCAAGUGCGUUUGCUAGUGCAAGGCUCGCUCUUCCUGGACCUGCAGAGAAGAGUUUGGUUACAUCUGGUACUCCAACCGCUGCAGAGGGUAGCAACCAUGCAUAUACAAAUUUUAGAACUGUAAGUCAAAAUGAAAGCUGCAACCAGACAAAUAUAAGUUCUGGGCCCGUAAGUCAACUUGAAUGGAAUUCGCAUACCCAUGGCGAUGUUGUGGAGAAAUGCCGUCCAAUCAUUGAGGAGCCAGCAAGCCCAGAACUAGAACCUGAGGCUGCAGAGAUAAAAGAGGAUAUUGAAGAUGCUUUUAUUGAUGAUCCUGAAGAAAUUCCUACUAUCAAGCUUAAUUUCACAGAGUUUACUCAGAACCUAAAGAACUACAUGCAAGCAAAUAACAUUGAGAUUGAAGAUGCUGAUAUGUCAAAGGCCCUGGUUGCCAUAACUCCUGAAGCUGCUUCUAUCCCAACUCCCAAGCUCAAGAAUAUCAGUCGCUUGAGGACAGAGCACCAAGUCUAUGAACUGCCAGACUCACAUCCACUUCUCGAGGGACUUGACCAAAGAGAGCCUGAUGAUCCUUGUCCUUAUCUACUUUCUAUAUGGACUCCAGGCAAGAAACCUAUAAUUUUUUUUCUCGAACAACGCAGGAGAACUGCGUGUCAUUUCAUUAAGAAAGGAAGUCGUACAAAAUGUACAAAGGUGAAACAGCUCAGUCAACUGAUGCACCUCAGACAUUUUGCAACUCCCAAGAGAGCGGUAAACUCUGUGAAAGUGCAACAUGCUUUAGUUGCAACAGUAUACGAGAAGCACAGGCUCAGAAAGUGAGAGGAACAAUUUUAAUACCAUGUCGAACAGCCAUGAGGGGAAGCUUCCCACUUAACGGGACAUACUUUCAAGUAAAUGAGGUAUUCGCUGAUCAUGACUCAAGUCGAAACCCAAUAGACAUUCCAAGGAGCUCAAUAUGGAACCUCCCUAGGAGAACAGUGUACUUUGGAACUUCAGUUCCUACAAUAUUUAAAGGUCUAUCAACUGAAGACAUACAACAUUGCUUUUGGAGAGGCUUUGUCUGUGUGAGGGGCUUUGAUAGGACAUCAAGAGCACCAAGACCACUGUACGCAAGACUUCACUUCCCAGCAAGCAAAAUUACCAGGAACAAGAAAGCUGCAGCUUUUGCUGCAUCAAGAGAUGAUGAAUAGGACAUUGGGGAAAGAAAUAAAGAGGCAUAUAGAUGACCCUGCUAGAGGAUCGCUGACCAAUAAGUUGCCGAAAUCAAUUCAAUCACUCAUGCCAAACACAUCUAUGAGAUAUAAUGAAUCACAACCACCCAUGAUUUGUGGCGACAUGAGGCAUGACUACAGAUUCUAUGCCUGGGUUUUACCAACCAACUGGUUCUUAUAUGGCAGCAUGUUUGCUGCACCAGUAAUUCAACAGACCUGAUGGGGAAUAGAGAGCCUAUUGUCAGGCCAUUGUAGCUGUACUUUCAUGUGAAUUGACUCAUUUUUGUUCUCGUUGUUGUACAUGAGGAGCUCAGCCAUUAAAGUGACCAUUAAUGUUGUUAGGUCAUUCAUGGGAACAUAUCAGAUUAAUCGUUGAUUAUUUGAUUGUUUCAUUGGUGAGGCCAAUUGGCUCAAAAUUCUUCUGAGUUACAGUGACGUAAAAAAUGUAUGUUGACAAAUUGAAGUGAAAAUUAAUUUGCAGUAACUUGGUACCUA